UGGGCUCUGGCCCCUCAGGUGACCUCGUCAGGUAUUUCCAGAGAUAAUCAGAAGAGAAUCGGUAGGAGCGGUGUCCUUAUAAAAAGGGUCACAUGGGCACAGGGACAGGCAGGCACGCAGACCGACGCCUGCGAAGGCUGGGGCCAGGCUGCUUCCUGCCAAGGAGCCCCAGAAGCAGGGAGGCGGGCUUGCUGUCCCCUGGAGCCCUCAGAGGGAGCAGGGCCUGUGACAGAAAACAACCUCAAGACGGCCAGCCUCGAACCAGAAUAAGCCCCUCAUUGGCAUACUUUGUCUUGGCAGCCAAGCAAAAUAAAAAAUUGUGACCUUGUUUUACACACCAGGAAACAGGCCUGGGGAGAUGCAGGGACAUCCCUGCAGCCCGCAGGCCAGGAGGGGGCAGGUGAGGCCAGGUGGCCCGCGGGGUCCAGCCAUGCUGGGCUCCCUGGCUUGCCCCAGCGCUCACUGCUGCUUCUGCCCCAGGGCCUUUGCUCUGCCUGAAGGGCUCCCCUCCCCCACCCUGCCAGUCUUUGCUCAAGUCCUGACUGUCACCCUGUCUGAGGCAGUCUCCCCGUCUCGGUCUCCGCCGCACAACAGAAAGCCCUUGUCUUGACAGGCAGGCUGUGCACUGAGUGUGGCUCCGAUCGGAACAAGAGCGUGAAGACCUUUCAUCUGUCCCACCCCUGUGUCCUGAUGCCCCAGCCAGGUAGAUAGGAGAGCCAAGGAUGGCCAUGCUGGCCCUUUGCACGCCCUCUCGACUCAGGCCAGUGUCUGGAAGUGAGGUCUCUGUUGUUUGGAGGGUUCAGGACCCGGGUUAGCUGUCUCCUGGAAGGGCCUUUGACAUGCCCAGAAGAGGCCUCUGUGCUUGUUGCCAGAUGCAUCUGAGCCCUGAGUCCCUGCUGGGGUCUCUCGUGCCCCUUCCCCGAUGAGCUGCUUGUCCUCCAGCCCCAGGAUGGCCGAGCGGAGGUGUGCAGGCACAGACACGUCUGUGAGCACACAGCCAGCUAGGGACCUCGGAGACCUCAGGUCUAGUCCUGUUGGGCCUGGGCGCCUGGCUCCUGUCUGCAGAGACACCCCCCCCCCCACCCGCACCGGGUCUUUUGAUCUCCUGUGCUGGCAGAGACCCCCUCAAGUGAGCCAGGCUGAGGUGGAAACCCAGAAGCCCAGAGGGAAAGGUUUCCUCCCCCAGCCUGUGCUGGAGUUCCAGCUUCCAGGCAUUGAUCUCUGUGACUCCGAUGCUGGAGCCAGCUGA
RNAcentral lists this long non-coding RNA (1249 nucleotides) under Capra hircus (goat). RNAcentral's name for it is "lncRNA (ENSCHIG00010028590.1)". The record is from RNAcentral. Lineage: Eukaryota; Metazoa; Chordata; Mammalia; Artiodactyla; Bovidae.